UGAAUUAGGGAAUCCAUCGACCUGUCAAAGUUAAAUCACGUGAUCUUUGGUUGGCACACAAAACCGUUCUUAACCUAAACUCAAUGUAAUUUUUGAUUUUUCGUAUUUGUUUUUCGUCGUGAUUUUUUAGCUAAUUUAGUAUUAAAAGACAUUCAUUAGAUUAAUUAGUUUAUAAACUUUACGUUUUUGGUGAUUUUGGCCCGGUCUUUUCACCUCCGAAUAAAUAUGCUCUUAUCUGGCAGUUAGCUAUCUGGAGGAUAAAUAUUUAUUCGCCAGAUAAAAUGUACCCGUCUUUUCACGUCAAUUUAUGUUCCAGUUAGUUAUCCGGUAGAUAAGCUUAAAAGUAAGUUUGGAUUCCGAACACACCUGACUUUUAUGUUUAUUUUUAUAAUUUCAGCAUGAUUUCAGCUUUAACUUAACCUAACAUAAUUAGAUUCAAAGUAUUUCAAAGAUGAUUUUAUCGAUUUUAUUUCCAUUUUGGAAGAAGGAAUGAAGGAAAUAAGGAAAACAUUGAUUAUGCUGAAAUAGUUUACUGGAGAGCUUGAACAAGAGGUAAAUCCAUUUUAAAUUAGAGGAAAACUGUUGAUUUGUAUGUAAAAUAGAAGACAAAGACAAGUUUAAAUAAAGACAAGCUAGCUAAUGAAACAGAUGCAGUGAUAUGACAAACACCUAGAAGAUGGAAUCCUGUGUUCUCAAAGAAAAAGCUAGUUCCAGAAAUAAGCUACCAAUAAUAAACUAGAGAAUGUAUUACAAGAAAGAACAACGCUAAUACCCAACAUAGCUCAAUUGCUUCAGAUAGAAAAAGAGGAGGAAAGGGUAGAACACAAGCGUGCCAGAGAAAAUUAAAGGGCAGAAGAGACACAAAAAUUCAUUGAUUUAUUAAAUUUAAUAAUUAAAUUAUACAAAGGACAAUUAAAUAAAGAAUAAAAAAUUA
Molecule: long non-coding RNA, 934 nt
Organism: Diabrotica virgifera virgifera (western corn rootworm)
Lineage: Eukaryota; Metazoa; Arthropoda; Insecta; Coleoptera; Chrysomelidae
Exons: 3
Source: RefSeq, a predicted model, not a curated record